UACGAGAGGCCCAAGCGUUAUUCGGAAUUACUGGGCUUAAAGAGUUCGUAGGCGGCAUUGCAAGUCGGGUGUGAAAGCCCUCGGCUCAACCGAGGAAUUGCGCUCUAAACUGCAGUGCUUGAGGAACCUAGAGGUGAGCAGAACAGAUGGUGGAGCGGUGAAAUGCGUUGAUAUCAUCUGGAAUACCGGAGGCGAAGGCGGCUCACUGGGAGUUUUCUGACGCUGAGGAACGAAAGCCAGGGUAGCGAACGGG
This 253-nucleotide ribosomal RNA is filed under the name uncultured bacterium. RNAcentral describes it as "partial 16S ribosomal RNA". It matches the Rfam family "Bacterial small subunit ribosomal RNA", at positions 524 to 776 of the family's 1533-position model. The record is from RNAcentral.